RNAcentral lists this ribosomal RNA (261 nucleotides) under Triticum aestivum (bread wheat). RNAcentral describes it as "partial small subunit ribosomal RNA". Lineage: Eukaryota; Viridiplantae; Streptophyta; Magnoliopsida; Poales; Poaceae. The record is from RNAcentral.
UGCAGCAUUUGUGGCAGAGAGAAGGAGGAUGAGUUCCAUGCGACAAUAAAUUGCACAAAAGCAAGAGCACUAAGAGAAUAGAUGAGGGAGCACUGGAACCUACCUGCAGAAAACUGUUUUUGCUUUUCAGGCAAGGAUUGGCUACAAAACCUGCUGGGGAAGGGAGACAUGGAGGAGAGGAAAAGGAUCCUCCUUCUACUGUGGAGGGCAUGGUGGCUGCCAGAUAAUUGUGUCCAUGUUGACGGCAAGGCUACAAUUGGC